RNAcentral lists this ribosomal RNA (374 nucleotides) under uncultured bacterium. Its description in RNAcentral is "bacterial SSU rRNA". It matches the Rfam family "Bacterial small subunit ribosomal RNA", at positions 32 to 432 of the family's 1533-position model. The record is from RNAcentral.
AAUCAACGCUGGCGGCAGGCCUAACACAUGCAAGUCGAACGCUGUAGCAAUACAGAGUGGCAGACGGGUGAGUAACGCGUGGGAACAUACCCUUCGGUUCGGAAUAACUCAGGGAAACUUGAGCUAAUACCGGAUACGUGCGAGAGCAGAAAGAUUCAUCGCCGAAGGAUUGGCCCGCGUUCGAUUAGCUUGUUGGUGAGGUAACGGCUCACCAAGGCGACGAUCGANAGCUGGUCUGAGAGGAUGAUCAGCCACAUUGGGACUGAGACACGGCCCAAACUCCUACGGGAGGCAGCAGUGGGGAAUCUUGCGCAAUGGGCGAAAGCCUGACGCAGCGACGCCGUGUGCGGGAAGAAGGCCUUCGGUUGUAACCG